GGGACGCCUUUGGAAAAGCUGGAUUGCUUCAUGUUUGAAGACAAACAGAAGAAAACAGCUAGAUUAUUCAACUAAAAUUCUGCAACUGGUGGCUGUAGGGAGAAUCAAGCUGUUUCAAACCAUGGUGAUCUGUGUGAAGAUUACUGAAGGAAAUGAUUACUGAAGAUUACUGAAGAUUAUGAUUACUGAAUCAUAAAAGAUUACU
RNAcentral lists this long non-coding RNA (205 nucleotides) under Anas platyrhynchos platyrhynchos (common mallard). Its description in RNAcentral is "lncRNA (ENSAPLG00000018677.1)". Lineage: Eukaryota; Metazoa; Chordata; Aves; Anseriformes; Anatidae. The record is from RNAcentral.